RNAcentral lists this ribosomal RNA (253 nucleotides) under uncultured bacterium. RNAcentral describes it as "partial 16S ribosomal RNA". It matches the Rfam family "Bacterial small subunit ribosomal RNA", at positions 524 to 776 of the family's 1533-position model. The record is from RNAcentral.
UACGUAGGGUGCAAGCGUUAAUCGGAAUUACUGGGCGUAAAGCGUGCGCAGGCGGUUCGUUGUGUCCGAUGUGAAAGCCCCGGGCUUAACCUGGGAAUGGCAUUGGAAACUGGCGAGCUUGAGUGCGGCAGAGGGGGUGGAAUUCCGCGUGUAGCAGUGAAAUGCGUAGAGAUGCGGAGGAACACCGAUGGCCGAAGGCAGCCCCCUGGGUCGACACUGACGCUCAGGCACGAAAGCGUGGGGAGCAAACAGG